RNAcentral lists this ribosomal RNA (352 nucleotides) under uncultured bacterium. RNAcentral describes it as "bacterial SSU rRNA". It matches the Rfam family "Bacterial small subunit ribosomal RNA", at positions 335 to 678 of the family's 1533-position model. The record is from RNAcentral.
ACUCCUACGGGAGGCAGCAGUGGGGAAUAUUGCACAAUGGGCGCAAGCCUGAUGCAGCCAUGCCGCGUGUGUGAAGAAGGCCUUCGGGUUGUAAGCACUUUUCAGUUGUGAGGAAGGUGGUGUCGUUAAUAGCGGCAUCAUUUUGACGUUUAGCAACAGAAGAAGCACCGGCUAACUCCGUGCCAGCAGCCGCGGUAAUACGGAGGGUGCGAGCGUUAAUCGGAAUUACUGGGCGUAAAGCGCAUGCAGGCGGCCUGUUAAGUCAGAUGUGAAAGCCCGGGGCUUAACCUCGGAAUUGCAUUUGAAACUGGCAGGCUAGAGUCUUGUAGAGGGGGUAGAAUUUCAGGUGUAG